Molecule: ribosomal RNA, 452 nt
Filed under: uncultured marine bacterium
Lineage: Bacteria
Description: bacterial SSU rRNA
Rfam family: Bacterial small subunit ribosomal RNA
Source: RNAcentral
AAUCUUGCGCAAUGAGCGAAAGCUAGACGCAGCCAUGCCGCGUGUGUGAUGAAGGCUCUAGGGUUGUAAAGCACUUUCAACAGCGAAGAUAUACAGGGCAUUAAUACCGCGCUGUUUAGACGUUAACUGUAUAAGAAGCACCGGCUAACUCCGUGCCAGCAGCCGCGGUAAGUCGGAGGGUGCGAACGUUAAUCGGAAUUACUGGGCGUAAAGCGCACGUAGGCGAUUUGUUAAGUGGGAUGUGAAAGCCCCGGGCUCAACCUGGGAAUUGCAUUCCAAACUAGCAGAUUAGAGUGUAGUAGAGGGAGGUGGAAUUUACUGUGUAGCGGUGGAAUGCGUAGAUAUAGUAAGGAACACCAGUGGCGAAGGCGACCUCCUGGACUAACACUGACGCUGAGGAGCGAAAGCGCGGGGAGCAAACAGGAUUAGAUACCCUGGUAGUCCGCGCCGUA